Molecule: long non-coding RNA, 295 nt
Filed under: Homo sapiens (human)
Lineage: Eukaryota; Metazoa; Chordata; Mammalia; Primates; Hominidae
Description: non-protein coding lnc-NCCRP1-1:1
Source: RNAcentral
UGUAUUCCUGCGUCUGUUGGCAUUAGAUGCUAAGACAGAGCUAGGGGUGUGAACCACCAUGCCUGGCCUGAAUAAGAUGCAUUUCUGGCAAUGUUGACCAAUGCCACAGGGAGCUCAGAACACAGGUCAUUCAUUAGAGGAGCCUCCCAUUGGGUAGGCACGGCCUGAUCUGAGAAGCCAUGCUCAAUAAUCACUGAUGUCUUCCCCAGGUCUUGGCUCAAAAGCUGAUGCAGAUCCUGAAGGCACUGCCCUGCUUGCAACAGAAUGGCACGGUCUUUUUUGAAGGGAUGGCUGG